UUGGAGAACUAGAACAAAAAGAUGCUGAUCAAGUGGCCGAGCUCAUUGGCACACCAGCCUGCAACCCAACAUGCCUACUACAUGGCCGCGCAGGACACACGGGACAAGAUAUGAGCAUGUAGCUUGCUGGCAACCGUCCUCCAUAAGGGUGUUUCAGGGACAGCGACAGUGCAAAAUAAUCCACCUACUGAUGAGAUCUCUCAGAUUUCUAGCUGCCUGAAUAACACACCUACUGAUGAGAUCUCUCAGCUUUCUAGCUGCCAGGUAAGUCAAGCUUCAGAUGCGUCAGGCCCGGAUGAAGUGUUUCGUAGGCCCUGUAGGAACCGGUGUUCCGUAAUCCCUAAACUGCGCCCUUGACACCGACACUCGAAAACUUGUAAGUUUUAUAUCCAAUGAACUUUAACAGGUUAGGUUUUAACAUUC
This is a long non-coding RNA of Patiria miniata (bat star), 423 nucleotides long. RefSeq lists it as uncharacterized. The record is from RefSeq and is a predicted model, not a curated record. NCBI's taxonomy places the organism in Eukaryota, Metazoa, Echinodermata, Asteroidea, Valvatida, Asterinidae. The transcript is spliced from 4 exons.